This 72-nucleotide transfer RNA is filed under the name Camelus dromedarius (Arabian camel). It matches the Rfam family "tRNA". Rfam says of the family: Transfer RNA (tRNA) molecules are approximately 80 nucleotides in length. Lineage: Eukaryota; Metazoa; Chordata; Mammalia; Artiodactyla; Camelidae. RNAcentral also lists the same sequence under 1 other name. The record is from Rfam by way of RNAcentral.
GAGGGUAUAGCUCAGUGGUAGAGUGCAUGCCUAGCAUGCAUGAGGUCGUGGGUUCAGUCCCCAGUGCCUCCA